AUGAGUGAGGGUAAUCAGCUUGUGAUACCUCUCAGCCCAUUGAUCACCAGGAUUGAUUUGAUUGAUCUAGAUGGCUAGGCAGGUGCCUCUUCCUCCCUCACCACCCUGACUGCAUCCCUUCCUAAGCUGUGUGGUUGGUAAAAAAGAAAGACCUUCCCUAAUAGGGGAGAGCUGGUCUUUGUCAAGGGUAUAUGAGUGGCUGCACCCCUGCUAGAACCUCCAAGUAAGCUCUCAACAUUUGAUUUGCACUUCUUCGCCUUAACUAGGUAGUUCAUUUUG
This 279-nucleotide small RNA is filed under the name Microtus ochrogaster (prairie vole). Its description in RNAcentral is "7SK RNA (ENSMOCG00000009093.1)". It matches the Rfam family "7SK RNA", at positions 1 to 249 of the family's 331-position model. From Rfam's summary of the family: 7SK was discovered as an abundant small nuclear RNA in the mid-70s but a possible function has only recently been suggested. Two independent studies have found that 7SK RNA binds the CDK9/cyclin T complex (known as elongation factor P-TEFb). Lineage: Eukaryota; Metazoa; Chordata; Mammalia; Rodentia; Cricetidae. The record is from RNAcentral.